Propithecus coquereli (Coquerel's sifaka) is the source of this 1654-nucleotide RNA transcript. It is a transcript of the gene named RNA-binding motif protein, X chromosome-like, with no coding region annotated. The record is from RefSeq and is a predicted model, not a curated record. The transcript has 2 exons. NCBI's taxonomy places the organism in Eukaryota, Metazoa, Chordata, Mammalia, Primates, Indriidae.
UUGGGCAGUAGUGCAAGCGGCUUCUAUGUUCAGUUCUUGAGCCCGGCAGCCGCCGCUCGUGCUGAGCUGCUAGGAAUCCCUGUCAGCGAGCUCGUAGGAGCUUGAAACCAUCGUCGCGCCUCCGUAGAUUCACCGGGGAAAAAAUGGUUGAAGCAGAUCGCCCAGGAAAGCUCUUCAUUGGAGGGCUUAAUACGGAAACAAAUGAGAAAGACCUUGAAGCGGUAUUUGGCAAAUAUGGACGAAUAGUGGAAGUACUCUUAAUGAAAGACAGAGAAACCAACAAAUCAAGAGGAUUUGCUUUUGUCACCUUCGAAAGCCCAGCAGAUGCUAAGGAUGCAGCCCGAGACAUGAAUGGAAAGUCUUUAGAUGGAAAAGCCAUCAAAGUGGAACAAGCCACCAAACCAUCAUUUGAAAGUGGUAGACGUGGACCACCUCCACCUCCAAGAAGCAGAGGCCCUCCAAGAGGUCUUAGGGGUGGAAGAGGAGGAAGUGGAGGAACCAGGGGACCUCCCUCACGGGGAGGGCACAAUUAUGGUCAUUCCAGUUCACGUGAUGACUAUCCAUCAAGAGGCUAUAGUGAUAGAGAUGGAUAUGGUCGUGAUCGUGACUAUUCAGAUCAUCCAAGUGGAGGUUCCUACAGAGAUUCAUAUGAGAGUUAUGGUAACUCACGUAGUGCUCCACCUACACGAGGGCCCCGCCAUCUUAUGGUGGAAGCAGUCGCUAUGAUGAUUACAGCAGCUCAUGUGACGGAUAUGGUGGAAGUCGAGACAGUUACUCAAGCAGCUGAAGUGAUCUCUACUCAAGUGGUCGUGAUCGGGUUGGCAGACAAGAAAGAGGGCUUCCCCCUUCUAUGGAAAGGGGGUACCCUCCUCCACGUGAUUCCUACAGCAGUUCAAGCCGCGGAGCACCAAGAGGUGGUGGCCGUGGAGGAAGCCGAUCUGAUAGAGGGGGAGGCAGAAGCAGAUACUAGAAACAAACAAAACUUUGUACCAAAAUCCCUGUUCAAGGAAACAAACAAAAAGUGGAAACUAUUAUCAUAACUACCCAAGGACUACUAAAAGGAAAAAUUGUGUUACCUUUUUAAAAUUUCCUGUUAAGUUCCCCUCCAUAAUUUUUAUGUUCUUGUGAGGAAAAAAGUAAAACAUGUUUAAUUUUAUUUGACUUUAUGACAUUGCUUUCAACAAGCAAAUGUUAAAUGUGUAAGACUUGACUUGUUGUACUAGUGUUGUUAUUUUCCAAGUAAAAGUGUCCCUAAAGGCCACUUUCUAUUCGAUUUUUCCCAGUAAAUGAGGCAAGCAAUUCUAAGAUCUUCCACAAACAUCUAGCCAUCUAAAAUGGAGAGAUGAAUCGUUCUGCCUAUACAAACUAGCUGUUAGAGGGUGGUUGGGUAUGCUACUUCUAGGAUUUCAGGGUGUCUUCAAACUGAAAUCAAAAUGUUCUCAGUAUUAAAAACCUGAGAUCAAAUGCCUAUGUAAGGAAAGUGCUAUUCACCCAGUAAACCCAAAACAAAUGGAUAAUGCUGGCCAUAUUUUGCCUUUCUGACAUUUCCUUGGGAAUCUGCAAGAACCUUCCCUUUCCCCUCCCCCAGUAAGACCAUUUAAGUGUGUGUUAAACAACUACAAAAUACUAAAUUAAAAGUUUGGCCAAAAAAAAA